GCUUUGGAAGACUCAGCAAUGGAUGCUGAUCAAGUGGACAACCUCAUAAAGUUUUAUCCAACAAAAGAGGGGAUGGAGCUGCUUCACGUAAACUGUUAGUAAAACAGUUUAAAGGAUUAAAAGACAGAAUAAACCCUGAACUGUUAGAAAUAUGUCAAUUAAGUCCUUGGAAUCUAAUUCCAAAAGUAAGGAUAUUUCUGCACACUUACCAAUAUUGCAGCAAGUUUAAGCAUGGUCCCGAUCAUGAUUAGGAUACAAAGGAGAGAAGGAUAAGUUAGGAAAAUGUGAACAGUUCUUCUUGGAGCUAAUGAAAGUUCCACGUACAGAAUCUAAGCUUAGAGUUUUUUCUUCUAAGUUACAGUUCAAUGCA
Long non-coding RNA from Helianthus annuus (common sunflower), 370 nucleotides. RefSeq lists it as uncharacterized. The transcript is spliced from 3 exons. The record is from RefSeq and is a predicted model, not a curated record. NCBI's taxonomy places the organism in Eukaryota, Viridiplantae, Streptophyta, Magnoliopsida, Asterales, Asteraceae.